UCGGGUUCAUAGCAGACGCCCGGCCACCGCAAGGCAUUUCGCCCAAGCUCUGC
This 53-nucleotide non-coding RNA is filed under the name unclassified sequences. Its description in RNAcentral is "chromate-resist RNA". It matches the Rfam family "chrB-b RNA". The record is from RNAcentral.